UACGUAGGGAGCAAGCGUUGUCCGGAUUUACUGGGUGUAAAGGGUGCGUAGGCGGCUUUGCAAGUCAGAAGUGAAAUCUAUGGGCUUAACCCUUAAACUGCUUUUGAAACUGCAGGGCUUGAGUGAAGUAGAGGUAGGCGGAAUUCCCGGUGUAGCGGUGAAAUGCGUAGAGAUCGGGAGGAACACCAGUGGCGAAGGCGGCCUACUGGGCUUUAACUGACGCUGAGGCACGAAAGCGUGGGUAGCAAACAGG
Molecule: ribosomal RNA, 253 nt
Filed under: uncultured bacterium
Lineage: Bacteria
Description: partial 16S ribosomal RNA
Rfam family: Bacterial small subunit ribosomal RNA
Source: RNAcentral